This 71-nucleotide transfer RNA is filed under the name Phrynosoma platyrhinos (Desert horned lizard). Its description in RNAcentral is "tRNA-OTHER". Lineage: Eukaryota; Metazoa; Chordata; Lepidosauria; Squamata; Phrynosomatidae. The record is from RNAcentral.
GCCAGCAUGGUGUAGUGGUUUGAGCAUUGGACUAUGAUUCUGGAGACCAAGGUCCAAAUCCUGUCUUGGCC